ACCGCUCAGUAACACGUAGUCAACCUAACCUAUGGACGGGAAUAACCUCGGGAAACUGAGAAUAAUGCCCGAUAGAACACUAUACCUGGAAUGGUUUGUGUUCCAAAUGAUUUAUCGCCAUAGGAUGGGACUGCGGCCUAUCAGUUUGUUGGUGAGGUAAUGGCCCACCAAGACUAUUACAGGUACGGGCUCUGAGAGGGGUAGCCCGGAGAUGGGUACUGAGACACGGACCCAGGCCCUAUGGGGCGCAGCAGGCGAGAAAACUUUGCAAUGUGCGAAAGCACGACAAGGUUAAUCCGAGUGAUUUGUGCUAAACGAAUCUUUUGUUAGUCCUAGAAACACUAACGAAUAAGGGGUGGGCAAGUUCUGGUGUCAGCCGCCGCGGUAAAACCAGCACCUCAAGUGGUCAGGAUGAUUAUUGGGCCUAAAGCAUCCGUAGCCGGCUCUGUAAGUUUUCGGUUAAAUCUGUACGCUCAACGUACAGGCUGCCGGGAAUACUGCAGAACUAGGGAGUGGGAGAGGUAGACGGUACUCGGUAGGAAGUGGUAAAAUGCUUUGAUCUAUCGAUGACCACCUGUGGCGAAGGCGGUCUACCAGAACACGUCCGACGGUGAGGGAUGAAAGCUGGGGGAGCAAACCGGAUUAGAUACCCGGGUAGUCCCAGCUGUAAACUAUGCAAACUCAGUGAUGCAUUGGCUUGUGGCCAAUGCAGUGCUGCAGGGAAGCCGUUAAGUUUGCCGCCUGGGAAGUACGUACGCAAGUAUGAAACUUAAAGGAAUUGGCGGGGGAGCACCACAAGGGGUGAAGCCUGCGGUUCAAUUGGAAUCAACGCCGGU
This 836-nucleotide ribosomal RNA is filed under the name uncultured archaeon. Its description in RNAcentral is "bacterial SSU rRNA". It matches the Rfam family "Archaeal small subunit ribosomal RNA", at positions 85 to 922 of the family's 1478-position model. The record is from RNAcentral.